RNAcentral lists this unclassified non-coding RNA (327 nucleotides) under soil metagenome. RNAcentral's name for it is "partial contains 5.8S ribosomal RNA, internal transcribed spacer 2, and large subunit ribosomal RNA". The stretch from base 1 to 120 matches the Rfam family "5.8S ribosomal RNA", at positions 35 to 154 of the family's 154-position model. The record is from RNAcentral.
GAUGAAGAACGCAGCGAAAUGCGAUAAGUAAUGUGAAUUGCAGAAUUCAGUGAAUCAUCGAAUCUUUGAACGCACAUUGCGCCCCUUGGUAUUCCGAGGGGCAUGCCUGUUCGAGCGUCAUUAUAACCCCUCAAGCUCAGCUUGGUGUUGGGGCCUGCCGCACGGGCAGCCCUUAAAAUCAGUGGCGGUGCCAUCUGGCUCUAAGCGUAGUAAUUCUUCUCGCUAUAGAGUCCCGGUGGAUGCUUGCCAUUAACCCCCAAUUUUCUAUGGUUGACCUCGGAUCAGGUAGGGAUACCCGCUGAACUUAAGCAUAUCAAUAAGCGGAGA